GCACCCGCGGUAAUUCCAGCACCAAUAGCGUAUAUUAAUGCUGCUGCUGUUAAAAAGCUCGUAGUUGGAUCAAGAGUUGGACAGUGCACGGCGGCCCCGUUGGCCUAGUUUGGUUCCGAUCAAGCUAGCCGCGGCGGAAUCACCCCGUGCGCCAAACUGUCCACUCUAACAGGCCGAAACGGUUCCCUGUGAGUAGGCUCCUUCAUUGGGGUCGAAAGCGCCUACGCAUCAACCAUAUGCAUACGGGACGUCGGCCAAAGUUACUGUGAACAAACCAGCGUGUCCAAAGCAGGCUUUCGCCUGAAUGUUCGAGCAUGGAAUAACAAGGGAUCGAUUCUCUCGGUUCUUUUGGUUGGUUUUUAACCCGAGAAGGAGUAAUUCAGGCCACGGUGUCUGAGUUGGGUUACCCGAGCCCUUGGGUGAGGCCCCAAUUAGGCCGUGUCCUUACGGGAUCAAUAGGGACUGACGGGGUCGUACGUACUUCCGCGUCAGAGGUGAAAUUCUUAGAUCGCGGGAAGACGAACUUCUGCGAAAGCAUUCGACAAGAAUGUCUUCAUUAAUCAAGAACGAGAGUGUGGGGAUCGAAGAUGAUCAGAUACCGUCGUAGUCCACUACUGUAAACAAUGCCGUCUCAGGAUUGAGAAGUGAACUGAAUGACUCUCACAGCACUAACCCCUGAAACGAGAAAUCAAAGAUUAUGGGUUCAGGGGGGAGUACAUUCGCAAGGCUGAAACUUAAAGGAAUUGACGGAAUGACACCACAAGGCGUGGAGUAUGCGGCUUAAUUUGACUCAACACGGGGAAUUUUACUAGGUCAGGACAAUGUAAGGAUUGACAGAUUGAGAGCUCUUUCUCGAUCCAUUGUGUGGUGGUGCAUGGCCGCUCCUGGUUGGUGGAGUGAUUUGUCUGGUUGAUUCCGUUAACGAACGAGAUCUCGACCCUUAAAUAGGUGCCCGUGUCGAUUGUAGUUUCGCUCCUGCUCGCUUGCGAGACUUGGACGGGACGAGACUGCGGGAAUACUUUUUAAGGGGACUGUAUGCGUUUAUAGCAUGCGGAAGAGCGAGCCAAUAGCAGGUCUGUGAUGCUCCUAAAUGUCCUAGGCUGCACGCGCACUACACUGAUGCAAUAAACGAGUCUGAUUGCCUUCUGGCAACCUACCUGGAAGCGGGUGGGAAAUAUUUUGAACUUGCAUCGUGGUGAG
RNAcentral lists this ribosomal RNA (1200 nucleotides) under uncultured marine diplonemid. RNAcentral's name for it is "SSU rRNA". It matches the Rfam family "Eukaryotic small subunit ribosomal RNA", at positions 570 to 1574 of the family's 1831-position model. The record is from RNAcentral. Lineage: Eukaryota; Euglenozoa; Diplonemea.